This 497-nucleotide ribosomal RNA is filed under the name uncultured bacterium. RNAcentral's name for it is "partial 16S ribosomal RNA". It matches the Rfam family "Bacterial small subunit ribosomal RNA", at positions 28 to 507 of the family's 1533-position model. The record is from RNAcentral.
GAUGAACGCUGGCGGCGUGCCUAAUACAUGCAAGUCGAGCGAACAGACGAGGAGCUUGCUCCUCUGGCGUUAGCGGCGGACGGGUGAGUAACACGUGGAUAACCUACCUAUAAGACUGGGAUAACUUCGGGAAACCGGAGCUAAUACCGGAUAAUAUAUUGAACCGCAUGGUUCAAUAGUGAAAGACGGUUUUGCUGUCACUUAUAGAUGGAUCCGCGCCGCAUUAGCUAGUUGGUAAGGUAACGGCUUACCAAGGCAACGAUGCGUAGCCGACCUGAGAGGGUGAUCGGCCACACUGGAACUGAGACACGGUCCAGACUCCUACGGGAGGCAGCAGUAGGGAAUCUUCCGCAAUGGGCGAAAGCCUGACGGAGCAACGCCGCGUGAGUGAUGAAGGUCUUCGGAUCGUAAAACUCUGUUAUUAGGGAAGAACAAAUGUGUAAGUAACUAUGCACGUCUUAACGGUACCUAAUCAGAAAGCCACGGCUAACUACGUG